ACGCUUGAAGUCAGUCGCGUCGGCUAGAAAUCAGCCUUGCUUUUGCUUGGUGUACUUUCUGGUUGAUGGGUCAGCAUCAAUUUUGAUCAUUGGAUAAAGUCGUUGGGAAUGUGGCAUCUUAGGAUGUGUUAUAGCCCAUUGUCGCAUACAGUGGUUGGGAUUGAGGAACUCAGCACGCCGCAAGGCCGGGUCUUUUUGACCACGUUCGUGCUUAGGAUGCUGGCAUAAUGGCUUUAAUCGACCCGUCUUGAAACACGGACCAAGGAGUC
RNAcentral lists this ribosomal RNA (269 nucleotides) under Inocybe sp. REH7020. RNAcentral describes it as "partial large subunit ribosomal RNA". It matches the Rfam family "Eukaryotic large subunit ribosomal RNA", at positions 419 to 675 of the family's 3401-position model. Lineage: Eukaryota; Fungi; Basidiomycota; Agaricomycetes; Agaricales; Inocybaceae. The record is from RNAcentral.